RNAcentral lists this ribosomal RNA (686 nucleotides) under uncultured bacterium. RNAcentral's name for it is "bacterial SSU rRNA". It matches the Rfam family "Bacterial small subunit ribosomal RNA", at positions 32 to 715 of the family's 1533-position model. The record is from RNAcentral.
AACGCUAGCUACAGGCUUAACACAUGCAAGUCGAGGGGCAUCAGGGUAGCAAUACCGCUGGCGACCGGCGCACGGGUGAGUAACACGUAUCCAACCUACCGUUAACUCGGGGAUAGCCUUUCGAAAGAAAGAUUAAUACCCGAUAGUAUAUUUUCUUCGCAUGUUGAAAAUAUUAAAGAAUUUCGGUUAUCGAUGGGGAUGCGUUCCAUUAGGCAGUUGGCGGGGUAACGGCCCACCAAACCUACGAUGGAUAGGGGUUCUGAGAGGAAGGUCCCCCACAUUGGAACUGAGACACGGUCCAAACUCCUACGGGAGGCAGCAGUGAGGAAUAUUGGUCAAUGGACGAAGGUCUGAACCAGCCAAGUAGCGUGAAGGAUGACUGCCCUAUGGGUUGUAAACUUCUUUUAUAUGGGAAUAAAGUUCUCCACGUGUGGAGUUUUGUAUGUACCAUUAUGAAUAAGCAUCGGCUAACUCCGUGCCAGCAGCCGCGGUAAUACGGAGGAUGCGAGCGUUAUCCGGAUUUAUUGGGUUUAAAGGGAGCGUAGGUGGACUGGUAAGUCAGUUGUGAAAGUUUGCGGCUCAACCGUAAAAUUGCAGUUGACACUGUCAGUCUUGAGUACAGUAGAGGUGGGCGGAAUUCGUGGUGUAGCGGUGAAAUGCUUAGAUAUCACGAAGAACUCCGAUUG